UGCCAGCAGCCGCGGUAAUACGGGGGGAGCAAGCGUUGUUCGGAUUUACUGGGCGUAAAGGGCGCGUAGGCGGCCACCGCAAGUCGACUGUGAAAUCUCCGGGCUUAACUCGGAAAGGUCAGCCGAUACUGCGGGGCUAGAGUGCAGAAGGGGCAACUGGAAUUCUCGGUGUAGCGGUGAAAUGCGUAGAUAUCGAGAGGAACACCUGCGGCGAAGGCGGGUUGCUGGGCUGACACUGACGCUGAGGCGCGAAAGCUAGGGGAGCGAACGGGAUUAGAUACCCCGGUAGUCCUAGCCUUAAACGAUGAAUGCUUGGUGUCUGGGGUUUUAUAGUCCCCGGGUGCCGUCGCUAACGCUUUAAGCAUUCCGCCUGGGGAGUACGGUCGCAAGACUGAAACUCAAAGGAAUUGACGGGGGCCCGCACAAG
Molecule: ribosomal RNA, 427 nt
Filed under: uncultured bacterium
Lineage: Bacteria
Description: bacterial SSU rRNA
Rfam family: Bacterial small subunit ribosomal RNA
Source: RNAcentral